RNAcentral lists this transfer RNA (70 nucleotides) under Stereomastis sculpta. RNAcentral describes it as "tRNA-Phe". Lineage: Eukaryota; Metazoa; Arthropoda; Malacostraca; Decapoda; Crangonidae. The record is from RNAcentral.
ACCCUUAUAAUUCAAGGAAAUUAGAAUUUUGUGCUGAAGAUACAAAAGUGAUAAAGUUUAUCUAUGGGUA